UACGAAGGGGGCAAGCGUUGUUCGGAAUUACUGGGCGUAAAGGGCGCGCAGGCGGCCAAUCAAGUCAGAUGUGAAAGCCCCGGGCUCAACCUGGGAAUUGCAUUUGGGACUGAUUGGCUAGAGAUCGGGAGAGGAGAGUGGAAUUCCCAGUGUAGAGGUGAAAUUCGUAGAUAUUGGGAAGAACACCGGUGGCGAAGGCGGCUCACUGGCCCGGUACUGACGCUGAGGAGCGAAAGCGUGGGGAGCAAACAGG
RNAcentral lists this ribosomal RNA (253 nucleotides) under uncultured bacterium. RNAcentral describes it as "partial 16S ribosomal RNA". It matches the Rfam family "Bacterial small subunit ribosomal RNA", at positions 524 to 776 of the family's 1533-position model. The record is from RNAcentral.